GCCCGGGUGGUGAAAUCGGUAGACACAGGGGACUUAAAAUCCCCCGGUAGCAAUACUGUGCCGGUUCAAGUCCGGCCUCGGGCA
This 84-nucleotide transfer RNA is filed under the name Sulfurimonas sp. UBA12504. It matches the Rfam family "tRNA". From Rfam's summary of the family: Transfer RNA (tRNA) molecules are approximately 80 nucleotides in length. Lineage: Bacteria; Pseudomonadati; Campylobacterota; Epsilonproteobacteria; Campylobacterales; Sulfurimonadaceae. The record is from Rfam by way of RNAcentral.